GGGCCCGCACAAGCGGUGGAGCAUGUGGUUUAAUUCGAUGAUACGCGAGGAACCUUACCAGGGCUUAAAUGGAAAAUGACAGGGGCAGAGACGCCCCCUUCUUCGGACAUUUUUCAAGGUGCUGCAUGGUUGUCGUCAGCUCGUGCCGUGAGGUGUCAGGUUAAGUCCUAUAACGAGCGCAACCCCUACCGUUAGUUGCCAGCGAGUAAUGUCGGGGACUCUAACGGAACUGCCGGUGCAAACCGUGAGGAAGGUGGGGACGACGUCAAAUCAUCACGGCCCUUACGUCCUGGGCCACACACGUGCUACAAUGGUAGGUACAGAGGGAAGCCACCCCGCGAGGGGGAGCGGAUCUAUAAAGCCAAUCUCAGUUCGGAUUGGAGUCUGCAACUCGACUCUAUGAAGCUGGAAUC
Molecule: ribosomal RNA, 413 nt
Filed under: uncultured bacterium
Lineage: Bacteria
Description: bacterial SSU rRNA
Rfam family: Bacterial small subunit ribosomal RNA
Source: RNAcentral